AAAAGCUGAAAUGCAGAGAGGAGGGAAGAGAAAAAGUACGCUACAUCAGCAUGAAGUUAACGCUGUUACUGUCAACUUAACAGACAAGACCUUAUUCAUACAAUUUUCAUAGCAUAGGGACUCAAUGUCUUCAUUUUUAAAACCGGGUACUAAACAGAAAUUCACCUCUUAACAUGAGGACGAAGUAAGCAUUUAAGCCUACUUUUAAGCAUACAUAAACUAUUUGUACUCUAUCUCAAACAGACAAAUAAGAUAAGUAGAUCCACAUACACACACAUUAACACUCAAAUGUGGUGUCCAACACCAUACUUCUCAUGAAAAGAAUAUAUAAGCAUACAACUGAAAGUUAAAGAAAGAAAAAAAAAAGGAAAUGAACGAAAGAAAAAUAAAUAUAAGAAAAAAUAAGAUAGAUGUUAGGUCCAAAUUUUCACAAUAAUCCUGAGAUUGCUUCUAUGUGAAGGAUUUUUCAUGACUUGAGUCUCAGGUCAGGGUAUGAGGAAACCUUUCAAAAUGUGUUUUCUUUGUCGGGCUCAAGCCCCAAAUUUUAAUGUUGAUGUCGUGCUACAUGAAUUUGUUGUGAAAUGCU
This 586-nucleotide long non-coding RNA is filed under the name Vigna radiata. RNAcentral's name for it is "long non-coding RNA (VRAD_LNC010419)". The record is from RNAcentral. Lineage: Eukaryota; Viridiplantae; Streptophyta; Magnoliopsida; Fabales; Fabaceae.